RNAcentral lists this unclassified non-coding RNA (332 nucleotides) under soil metagenome. RNAcentral describes it as "partial contains 5.8S ribosomal RNA, internal transcribed spacer 2, and large subunit ribosomal RNA". The stretch from base 1 to 120 matches the Rfam family "5.8S ribosomal RNA", at positions 35 to 154 of the family's 154-position model. The record is from RNAcentral.
GAUGAAGAAUGUAGCGAAAUGCGAUAAGUAGUGUGAAUUGCAGAAUUCAGUGAAUCAUCGAAUCUUUGAACGCACAUUGCGCCCUUUGGUAUUCCUUAGGGCAUGCCUGUUCGAGCGUCAUUUAAACCUUCAAGCUAAGCUUGGUGUUGGGUGACUGUCCGCUUCACGGCGGACUCGCCUCAAAAUUAUUGGCGGCCGGUACAUUGGCUUCGAGCGCAGCAGAAACGCGAACUCGGGCCCGUCGUAUUGGCUCCCAGAAGCUAUCUUCACAAUUUUGACCUCGGAUCAGGUAGGGAUACCCGCUGAACUUAAGCAUAUCAAUAAGCGGAGGA